Molecule: ribosomal RNA, 446 nt
Filed under: uncultured bacterium
Lineage: Bacteria
Description: partial 16S ribosomal RNA
Rfam family: Bacterial small subunit ribosomal RNA
Source: RNAcentral
CCUACGGGUGGCAGCAGUCGAGAAUAAUUCACAAUGGGGGAAACCCUGAUGGUGCGACGCCGCGUGGGGGAAUGAAGGUCUUCGGAUUGUAAACCCCUGUCAUGUGGGAGCAAAUUAACAAGAUAGUACCACAAGAGGAAGAGACGGCUAACUCAGUGCCAGCAGCCGCGGUAAUACAGAGGUCUCAAGCGUUGUUCGGAAUCACUGGGCGUAAAGCGUGCGUAGGCUGUUUCGUAAGUCGUGGGUGAAAGGCGCGGGCGCAACCCGCGGACGGCACAUGAUACUGCGAGACUAGAGUAAUGGAGGGGGAACCGGAAUUCUCGGGGUAGGAGUGAAAUGCGUAGAUAUCGAGAGGAACACUCGUGGCGAAGGCGGGUUCCUGGACAUUAACUGACGCUGAGGAACGAAGGCCAGGGGAGCGAAAGGGAUUAGAUACCCGUGUAGUC